AUCUAUGGGCACACCACUCUGAACUCGCCCAAUCUCACCUGAUCUCAGACACGAAGCAGGGUCGGACCUGGUUUGUGCUUGGAUGGGAGAACAUACCCAGAAACAAGACUUCAAGUAAU
Molecule: ribosomal RNA, 119 nt
Filed under: Fukomys damarensis (Damara mole-rat)
Lineage: Eukaryota; Metazoa; Chordata; Mammalia; Rodentia; Bathyergidae
Source: RNAcentral